Molecule: long non-coding RNA, 886 nt
Organism: Mytilus californianus (California mussel)
Lineage: Eukaryota; Metazoa; Mollusca; Bivalvia; Mytilida; Mytilidae
Exons: 3
Source: RefSeq, a predicted model, not a curated record
GUAUAUAUAUCUUAUAUUCUUUUACUUAUCUGUCUGCUAUCGUGUAGUAAUUGCACAAACAUUGCAAACAAUGAAAAUUACGUGCAAUUGUUAUUGUAUUUUGUUAAACAGCUAUUGAUAUUUUUAAAAAGUUGUAAUUUUGUGAAGAUCUGGAACUAAUCUACUAUCAGUUAAAGGUAGAAUCAUAUUGAAAAAUGAGUGAUAAUAAAGCUGCGGAGAACACUAGUGUGUUUAGCCCAGAGAAAACUCAGUAUUAUGAGGUCCACAAUAUAGUGGUUCCACAUAUUGGACCAGUUCCUAUUGCUAAGGGAGACUUUCACAAACUUCCUCAAAAAGUACAGAAAUUCAUUGCAAAAUGGGUUGACAUUUGUGCACCAAGAGCUUUGUACAUCUGUGAUGGUUCUAAAGCAGAGUCUGAUGAGAUCAUACACAAAUUGGUAGAAAGAGGUGUUCUAACAGAACUUAAAAAAUAUGAAAACUGGUAAGUUUAUUAUCCUUCAAUUUUAGACUUCCCUUUCCAAGGUAUCAACUUAAUAUUCUUGUGCAAUGUUAGGGACGACAUCAAAGAUCGAUGUCGGAUAAAAAACUUAAUCAAAUAGUUUGCGGGUGGGGGGUAAAAAUCGCUGCAAGUUUUGUUAUCCGACAUCGAUUUUUGGAUUGAAAAAUAUGGACUCGUUUGGCUCGAACAUAUGUUUGGACUUUUAAACCAAAUGAUUGCCAUCAAAUCGUACCGGAAAGCAAAUUUUUGGCUGAAAGUAUUUGGGCGAAAUUAAUCAUAGUAUCUUAUGUCGUUCAAACGCUUUAUCGAUCGUGAAUUUUGAAUGAUACGAAACCAUAUACAGAUCAACACAGACUGUUUUGGUCCACACUGCAUGGUGGCAUUCUA